Molecule: ribosomal RNA, 253 nt
Filed under: uncultured bacterium
Lineage: Bacteria
Description: partial 16S ribosomal RNA
Rfam family: Bacterial small subunit ribosomal RNA
Source: RNAcentral
UACGUAGGGGGCAAGCGUUGUCCGGAUUUAUUGGGCGUAAAGAGCGUGUAGGCGGCCUGACAGGUCUGCUGUGAAAACUCGAGGCUCAACCUCGAGAUGUCGGCGGAAACCGUCUAGCUAGAGUCCGGAAGAGGAGAGUGGAAUUCCUGGUGUAGCGGUGAAAUGCGCAGAUAUCAGGAAGAACACCUAUGGCGAAGGCAGCUCUCUGGGACGGUACUGACGCUGAGACGCGAAAGCGUGGGGAGCGAACAGG